UACGUAGGCAGCAAGCGUUGUUCGGAGUUACUGGGCGUAAAGGGUGCGUAGGCGGCUUUUUAAGUUUGGUGUGAAAUCUCCCGGCUCAACUGGGAGGGUGCGCCGAAUACUGAGAGGCUAGAGUGUGGGAGAGGAAAGUGGAAUUCCUGGUGUAGCGGUGAAAUACGUAGAUAUCAGGAGGAACACCGGUGGUGUAAACGGCUUCUGGACCAUAACUGACGCUGAGGCACGAAAGCGUGGGUAGCAAACAGG
This 252-nucleotide ribosomal RNA is filed under the name uncultured bacterium. RNAcentral describes it as "partial 16S ribosomal RNA". It matches the Rfam family "Bacterial small subunit ribosomal RNA", at positions 524 to 776 of the family's 1533-position model. The record is from RNAcentral.